Long non-coding RNA from Vollenhovia emeryi, 464 nucleotides. RefSeq lists it as uncharacterized. The transcript is spliced from 2 exons. Lineage: Eukaryota; Metazoa; Arthropoda; Insecta; Hymenoptera; Formicidae. The record is from RefSeq and is a predicted model, not a curated record.
UUAUCUUUUUAUCUUUUUAGAUUCGUUAUAAUGCCUCAGCAAGAUUGUCAGCAUAGGCGCAAGCAAGCAAUCCAGCAGAUAAAAUAGUAUCGUGCGCCCCUGGCUUUACACUCACAAUGCUCAAAAAAUGCCUAGAAUGCCUAGUAAUGCCUGAAAUUUGUACACCACAAUGUCCUCAGCAGCCUCGAUCGGGACAUACCGAACUGUUAGACUUAUUUAUGGAUAAUGUACGGGGUGUUUGCAGUUACAAAUAAAAUCAAGACGAAUCAGGAAUAAGACGCGUAAACACAUAUGUAUAUCACAAGUUCAUAACUUCAAUUAAUAUUCUGAGUUAGUAUUAUGAAACAUUACUAUAGUAAAACUAAGACAAUUUCGUACUUUAUAUAAAUAGAAACGUAUCUUCCCUUCCAGCAGGAGUGUCACAUCCAUUUACAGUGUAUAAACAUAAAGAAUCUUUUACUAUA